GAAUUUUGGACAAUGGGCGCAAGCCUGAUCCAGCCAUGCCGCGUGGGUGAAGAAGGCCUUCGGGUUGUAAAGCCCUUUCGGCUGGGACGAAAAGGUCCGCGCCAACACCGCGGAUCCAUGACGGUACCAGCAGCAGAAGCACCGGCUAACUACGGGCCAGCAGCCGCGGUAAUACGUAGGGGGCAGGCGUUAAUCGGAAUUACUGGGCGUAAAGCGUGCGCAGGCGGUUUGCUAAGACAGGUGUGAAAUCCCCGGGCUUAACCUGGGAACUGCGCUUGUAACUGGCAGGCUGGAGUGUGGCAGAGGGGGGUGGAAUUCCACGUGUAGCAGUGAAAUGCGUAGAGAUGUGGAGGAACACCGAUGGCGAAGGCAGCCCCCUGGGCUAACACUGACGCUCAUGCACGAAAGCGUGGGGAGCAAACAGG
RNAcentral lists this ribosomal RNA (425 nucleotides) under uncultured bacterium. RNAcentral's name for it is "bacterial SSU rRNA". It matches the Rfam family "Bacterial small subunit ribosomal RNA", at positions 359 to 776 of the family's 1533-position model. The record is from RNAcentral.